UAGGGAAUCUUCGGCAAUGGGGGGAACCCUGACCGAGCAACGCCGCGUGAGUGAAGAAGGUUUUCGGAUCGUAAAGCUCUGUUGUUAAGGAAGAACGAGUGUGAGAAUGGAAAGUUCAUGCUGUGACGGUACUUAACCAGAAAGGGACGGCUAACUACGUGCCAGCAGCCGCGGUAAUACGUAGGUCCCGAGCGUUGUCCGGAUUUAUUGGGCGUAAAGCGAGCGCAGGCGGUUAGAAAAGUCUGAAGUGAAAGGCAGUGGCUCAACCAUUGUAGGCUUUGGAAACUGUUUAACUUGAGUGCAGAAGUGGAGGGUGGAAUUCCAUGUGUAGCGGUGAAAGGCGUGGAUAUAUGGGGGAACACCGGUGGCGAAAGCGGCUCUCUGGUCUGUACCUGACGCUGAGGCUCGAAAGCGUGGGGAGCGAACAGG
RNAcentral lists this ribosomal RNA (429 nucleotides) under Bacteroidota bacterium. RNAcentral describes it as "Bacteroidetes bacterium partial 16S ribosomal RNA". It matches the Rfam family "Bacterial small subunit ribosomal RNA", at positions 355 to 776 of the family's 1533-position model. Lineage: Bacteria; Pseudomonadati; Bacteroidota. The record is from RNAcentral.